Bactrocera dorsalis (oriental fruit fly) is the source of this 1883-nucleotide RNA transcript. It is a transcript of the gene named serine/arginine-rich splicing factor 2, with no coding region annotated. The transcript is spliced from 5 exons. NCBI's taxonomy places the organism in Eukaryota, Metazoa, Arthropoda, Insecta, Diptera, Tephritidae. The record is from RefSeq and is a predicted model, not a curated record.
CGCCAUUUUGUAUUAGUUCUUUGAUGUCUGAAUUUCUAUUAGUGCAGUUUGUGAGAAUAAAUAUUUCUUAAUUUCAAGUAAACAAGUAACUAUUGAAAAGCAAAUAACAAAAUGAGUGGAGGUGGGAAUAAUUCUGCACGACCACCACCAAGAAUUGAUGGAAUGAUUUCCCUUAAGGUUGAUAAUUUGACAUAUCGUACUACACCGGAGGAUUUGAGACGUGUAUUCGAGCGAUGUGGUGAGGUUGGAGAUAUCUACAUACCUCGUGAUCGAUAUACUCGUGAAAGUCGUGGUUUCGCAUUUGUUAGAUUUUACGACAAACGUGAUGCAGAGGAUGCAUUAGAGGCUAUGGAUGGCCGAAUGCUUGACGGUAGGGAGUUACGCGUACAGAUGGCUCGUUAUGGUCGUCCUACUUCUGCAACACGAACGAAUAACAGACGUGGUGGCGGUGGCGGUAGACGCCGUUCUCGUUCACCUGCACGCAGGCGAUCUCGUAGUCCACGACGACGAUCAUAUUCGCCACGUUCAAGAUCACGUUCAGCAGGUAGUCGUUCACCUGCUCGUCGAAGCAAAUUUUCACGAAGUCCAGUUAGACGAAAGUCACUAAGCCGUAGUCAAAGUCGCAAUGGUGUAGCUGGACGUAGUGUUUCACGUAGUCGCAGCCGCUCUUAAAGGAUUUCUAACAUAGUCAUUGAUUUAAUAAAAGAGAAUUGCCCAACAUCGUGACCAGUAUGCAUUAAAUACUUUCAUGUGUUGAUUAGCGGCGACUUCAUAUAAAAGCGCAGUCUGCGUUUAAUGCUGCUAGAUCAACAGGCAAACAAAGAUUGCUGUAAGGGCAAGGGCUGCUGUAAAGUGCGAAAAGUGAUUGAGGCAGAUAUUAUAAUGAAAUAUGUAAAAAAAAAUGUUUGGGGAGAUAUAAUGUGCAAGGAGCAGGAGGCAGAGAUUCGUAAAUUCAUUGAUGGCUGCAACGUAGCGAAUUUUAGGAAAACGUACUCCUGUUACUCUUGUUGCUGCUACAGCCGCUGUUUGCUGUUGUUCCAGCGUAAUAUUUGUACACCACUUGAGCCGCUGCACUUAACUAUGCCUAACACUUCGAUUUUAUUUCUCGAGCCUCUGAGAAAACUAAUCCAAGUGUUAAGCUGUUAUUAAUUUAAUAUUCGUGUUCGCAUCCUAUAAAUGAAAAUGUUGCUGUUAAUUAACGUUGAAGUUGCAGCGUCAAUUCCGUUUUAUUAAACGAAUUUCGUAAACAGAAUGUCCGGACCAAGUACAUCUAAAGCAUACUUGAUGUGUAACGGAACCAGUCAUGUAUAUACUUUGACGGUUUGAUUGUGUACGCGUGUACGCGCAGCAGUUGGAGCGGUGUACGGAUAGAAUAUAUUAAAUACCUGCGAUUUAGACCCAAGUUCAGCGAAAUCUCAAAUAUGGUGCAUAUGUUUGAAGGCAGUGCAGUAUAUGUAGAGCGGAAGUUUGGCAGGUAAUGCUGUAGCGAAAAUUACUCUUGCAACUACCUGUAACUGGUGGCUGUUUGUUGCUGCUAUUCGCUGUUAUUCACUUCAGUACGCUUCUUCGUACGAUAUUCGACUUCAUUUGGGUGGUAGUUAGUUGGUGGUCCGGCGUUUCGAGUUCUGAAUUGUUGCUGUCCCUACGAAAGAUUUUGUUUCUCCAAGUUUGCAGCACAGGUAAACCAGUUAAUGUUUGGCAAAUUGCUGAUGUCCAACAUGCAUUUCGCGGGAUGUGAUGCUAAGUACAUUUGAAAAAGAAUCUGGCGAUGAUGCUACAGGUAGGUAAUUGCGAUUAUCUAUACUAAUUAGAUUUUUUUACAGACCAACAUCUAGAUAUUUUAUAAAUUUUAAUAAAUAAACAUGCAAAGCAUGAUAUAAAGA